ACACACACACACACACACACACACACACACACACAAUAGAUCACUAGAGGAUAAACACUGUGUGUUUAUUCACUAAAUUAUGAUCUGGAAACUCAAUGUUUGGAAGACAAUCAGUUCAAUUUAGCUUUUGCUCCACCUGGGCUUCAAAACCUGGUGUGUUUUAAUAAUAUCCGAGUUGAACUAUAGACUACAUCAGUGUUGCUCAAGUUUUAAUAGUAAAAUCAUUUAAAUGUAAUAUACUAAAGCAGGUACCACAGAGAUACCAUAGUUCUUAAAUUCACAAGGGUUAUUAAAAUAUUAUCUUAGAAUUGUGAUUACGAAUGAAAAAAAAAAUGCAAAAUGUUCAGGGUCAUUCACUAAACACAAAUUGGAGAGUAUUGCUGGAUUGGAAAGAGUCACCUAUGUUUUCAGCAGUUAUUGUCUAAAAUUUGCAGAUCCAUUCUGACUAUUGACUGUUUAGUGAAUAAACCUGAUUUGGCUUCUAAAGCACGGGAGAAUAAGUUAAAAGUAAAACAAGGCUGAUAUUUUCAUUUUGGCUCUACAAAGCAACAUAUAUGCCGAUUUGUCUAAAGAAAUCCACAGAAAGAAAACAUUCAAGGGAUUAACUAACAAUGAUGAACCUUUCUUGUAUAAAUCAAAGUUGAAUAUUUAAAGCAGAUCAGUCACUUUUUUUCCAAACCCACACCCUGUUUUUUGGUUGUUUUUUUUUUUUCUUCAAACUUACUUUUUUUUUUCAUUACGCAUAACUGAUGACAAACUUAAUUCACGCUUUGCAGUCAUUGUCAAUGGUUGUGAUCACCUCCUUCCAGUAUUGCGCCUCUUUGGCUAGUGGCGAGAGUCAACACAGGCCUAUUGGAAGCCUUGGGUGUGCAUGUCAUUUGACACUCACGCCCAAGGGAGGGCAGAGUAUGGGAUUCCUGGCACCGCCAUCUUAAGAACACAAAGAUGACGACGCCUUGAGAUAAGAUCCAGCAGGACUGGCACAAUAUUGGAAAAGGUAAGCCGCACUGCUCUCGGGACUAGAAAUGGUUUUCAGGGGUUGUGGGCUAUAAAGAAGCUGGGGGCUGUACCAUCAAACAAUAACAGAUCCGCUUAUAGUAAUAUGCUGUAUAUUGAAUAUUCUAAGUUGGUUCCUGCAAACACCAUUUAGCUUUUUUUCUCCCAUAUGUUUAUAAAACAUUUAUAUGUACUACCUUCAGACAC
Molecule: non-coding RNA, 1203 nt
Organism: Pelobates cultripes (western spadefoot toad)
Lineage: Eukaryota; Metazoa; Chordata; Amphibia; Anura; Pelobatidae
Source: the annotation of a GenBank genome assembly